Molecule: ribosomal RNA, 473 nt
Filed under: uncultured bacterium
Lineage: Bacteria
Description: bacterial SSU rRNA
Rfam family: Bacterial small subunit ribosomal RNA
Source: RNAcentral
UUUCACUCCUACGGGAGGCAGCAGUGGGGAAUAUUGCACAAUGGGCGCAAGCCUGAUGCAGCCAUGCCGCGUGGUAUGAAGAAGGCCUUCGGGGUUGUAAAGUACUUUCAGCAGUGAGGAAGGCAGGUACGUUAAUAGCGUGCUUGUUUGACGUUAGCUGCAGAAGAAGCACCGGCUAACUCCGUGCCAGCAGCCGCGGUAAUACGGAGGGUGCGAGCGUUAAUCGGAAGUUACUGGGCGUAAAGCGCAUGCAGGUGGUUUGUUAAGUCAGAUGUGAAAGCCCGGGGCUCAACCUCGGAAUUGCAUUGAAACUGGCAGACUAGAGUACUGUAGAGGGGGUAGAAUUUCAGGUGUAGCGGUGAAAAUGCGUAGAGAUCUGAAGGAAUACCGGUGGCGAAGGCGGCCCCCUGGACAGAUACUGACACUCAGAUGCGAAAAGCGUGGGGAGCAAACAGGAUUAGAUACCCUGGUAG